RNAcentral lists this long non-coding RNA (426 nucleotides) under Apteryx owenii (little spotted kiwi). RNAcentral's name for it is "lncRNA (ENSAOWG00000015551.1)". The record is from RNAcentral. Lineage: Eukaryota; Metazoa; Chordata; Aves; Apterygiformes; Apterygidae.
UUCUUUCUCAGAGACUUUUUAUAAAAAGCAAUGAGCUCAUCCUAUUGUGUGUUUUGCAGGCUAUGUGGCACUCCCAGGGAAGCACUAUUGGUCUUGGAAAGAAUUGGUGCAGUUUUAAGAAGCUACAACUGAAGUGGGAUGUGGAUGGGGACCUCCCAUUAGAUGCAGAGACAAUGAUCGUAACUGCCUUCUUGACUACCAUCCACAGCAGUGAAUCCAGAUCACAGCAAGAAAAGGACUUGGGCUUCUUCCAGCCAAUGAUUUAUUUGUUCCACAGAGAAGUGCUGGGGGAUGUGGCCUUCUCCUGCAACUGAUCUUCUGAAACUUUAACAGCUGUUUUUUAAGAGCACAGUUCAAUCUUCUUCAUACUGUGACUCUUGAGACAGAGAGCUCUCAGGAAGGACAGCCAGGAUAGCUACAGUGUGA